RNAcentral lists this transfer RNA (87 nucleotides) under Lysobacterales bacterium. RNAcentral describes it as "tRNA-Leu". It matches the Rfam family "tRNA". Rfam says of the family: Transfer RNA (tRNA) molecules are approximately 80 nucleotides in length. Their secondary structure includes four short double-helical elements and three loops (D, anti-codon, and T loops). Lineage: Bacteria; Pseudomonadati; Pseudomonadota; Gammaproteobacteria; Lysobacterales. The record is from RNAcentral.
GCCGGAGUGGCGGAACUGGUAGACGCGACGGAUUCAAAAUCCGUUUUCAGAAAUGAAGUGAGAGUUCGAGUCUCUCCUCCGGCACCA